UACGGAGGGUGCAAGCGUUGUUCGGAAUUACUGGGCGUAAAGCGCGUGUAGGCGGCCGAUUAAGUCUGGUGUGAAAGCCCGGGGCUCACCCCCGGAAGUGCGCUGGAAACUGGUCGGCUAGAGUAUGGGAGAGGAAAGUGGAAUUCCCGGUGUAGCGGUGAAAUGCGUAGAUAUCGGGAGGAGCACCAGCGGCGAAGGCGGCUUUCUGGACCAAUACUGACGCUGAGACGCGAAAGCGUGGGGAGCAAACAGG
RNAcentral lists this ribosomal RNA (253 nucleotides) under uncultured bacterium. RNAcentral's name for it is "partial 16S ribosomal RNA". It matches the Rfam family "Bacterial small subunit ribosomal RNA", at positions 524 to 776 of the family's 1533-position model. The record is from RNAcentral.